This 253-nucleotide ribosomal RNA is filed under the name uncultured bacterium. Its description in RNAcentral is "partial 16S ribosomal RNA". It matches the Rfam family "Bacterial small subunit ribosomal RNA", at positions 524 to 776 of the family's 1533-position model. The record is from RNAcentral.
UACGAAGGGGGCUAGCGUUGCUCGGAAUUACUGGGCGUAAAGGGAGCGUAGGCGGACAUUUAAGUCAGGGGUGAAAUCCCGGGGCUCAAUCUCGGAAUUGCCUUUGAUACUGGGUGUCUUGAGUAUGAGAGAGGUAUGUGGAACUCCGAGUGUAGAGGUGAAAUUCGUAGAUAUUCGGAAGAACACCAGUGGCGAAGGCGACAUACUGGCUCAUUACUGACGCUGAGGCUCGAAAGCGUGGGGAGCAAACAGG